RNAcentral lists this unclassified non-coding RNA (401 nucleotides) under Hevea brasiliensis (rubber tree). The record is from RNAcentral. Lineage: Eukaryota; Viridiplantae; Streptophyta; Magnoliopsida; Malpighiales; Euphorbiaceae.
GCUCAAAGUAUAAUCAAGAUAAUGGUUCAAAGAGGUGUGGAGCCUAAUGUGGUCAUCUAUAGCACCUUAGUUCAUUGUCUAUGCUAUUUAGGCAAAGGGAAGGAAGCUUUGGCGUUGUUGAAUGAAAUGGUGAGGCAGAACAUGUCACCAAAUGUUCUUACCUUCAAAAUAGUGAUUGACACUCUUUUUAAGGAUGGAAUGGUUUUAGAGGGUCAAGAAGUUGUCAAUAUGAUGGUUGAAAGGGGCAUAAAACCUGAUGCAAUUGCUUACAAUUCAUUGAUAGAUGCAUAUUGUCUGCAUGGUCAAAUGAAUAAAGCUAGAGAAGUAUUUAAUCUGAUGGUAACAGAUGGAAUAGUUGAUAUUUUUAGCUACAACAACUUGAUUAAUGGAUAUUGCAAGAG